GUUAAUGUAGCUUAAUAUCAAAGCAAAGCACUGAAAAUGCUUAGAUGGAUGUUUUAUCCCAUAAACA
Molecule: transfer RNA, 67 nt
Filed under: Mus fragilicauda
Lineage: Eukaryota; Metazoa; Chordata; Mammalia; Rodentia; Muridae
Description: tRNA-Phe
Rfam family: tRNA
About the family: Transfer RNA (tRNA) molecules are approximately 80 nucleotides in length.
Source: RNAcentral